Molecule: long non-coding RNA, 284 nt
Organism: Selaginella moellendorffii
Lineage: Eukaryota; Viridiplantae; Streptophyta; Lycopodiopsida; Selaginellales; Selaginellaceae
Exons: 4
Source: RefSeq, a predicted model, not a curated record
CUUGUUCCAAGGCUGAUAAGCUCCAGGAGAACUCGCAGCAUUCCAGGGCGGGCGUUCCAGUUUGGGCAGCACAUAUGGAUUUGCGACACUGUCAAGCCCAUUAACUUUCACUGUGCGCGACUGGAGCUUGCCAAGAGCGCAGGAAUUCAGACAAUCGUCUGUGUUCCCACCCGAAACGGAGUUGUGGAGCUGGGAUCCACCGAAAUCGUUAACGAGUGCUCGCGGACACUCCAAGACAUAAGGAGAUACUUUGAGGAGGAGCAGCAGCAGCAGCAGCAAUCACA